RNAcentral lists this transfer RNA (72 nucleotides) under Verruconis gallopava. Its description in RNAcentral is "tRNA-Arg (TCT) (tRNA-Arg-TCT-1-1)". It matches the Rfam family "tRNA". Rfam says of the family: Transfer RNA (tRNA) molecules are approximately 80 nucleotides in length. Their secondary structure includes four short double-helical elements and three loops (D, anti-codon, and T loops). The record is from RNAcentral. Lineage: Eukaryota; Fungi; Ascomycota; Dothideomycetes; Venturiales; Sympoventuriaceae.
GCUCUGCUAGCGCAAUGGUAGCGCGUCAGACUUCUAAUCUGAAGGCUCCGGGUUCGAGUCCCGGGUGGAGCU